RNAcentral lists this ribosomal RNA (497 nucleotides) under uncultured bacterium. RNAcentral's name for it is "partial 16S ribosomal RNA". It matches the Rfam family "Bacterial small subunit ribosomal RNA", at positions 28 to 507 of the family's 1533-position model. The record is from RNAcentral.
GAUGAACGCUGGCGGCGUGCCUAAUACAUGCCAGUCGAGCGAACGGACGAGAAGCUUGCUUCUCUGAUGUUAGCGGCGGACGGGUGAGUAACACGUGGAUAACCUACCUAUAAGACUGGGAUAACUUCGGGAAACCGUAGCUAAUACCGGAUAAUAUUUUGAACCGCAUGGUUCAAAAGUGAAAGACGGUCUUGCUGUCACUUAUAGAUGGAUCCGCGCUGCAUUAGCUAGUUGGUAAGGUAACGGCUUACCAAGGCAACGAUGCAUAGCCGACCUGAGAGGGUGGUCGGCCACACUGGAUCUGAGACACGGUCCAGACUCCUGCGGGAGGCAGCGGUAGGGAAUCUUCCGCGAUGGGGGAAAGCCUGACGGAGCAACGCCGCGUGAGUGAUGAAGGUCUUCGGAUCGUAAAACUCUGUUAUUAGGGAAGAACAUAUGCGUAAGUAACUGUGCACAUCUUGACGGUACCUAAUCAGAAAGCCACGGCUAACUACGUG